UGAGGAAUAUUGGUCAAUGGGCGAGAGCCUGAACCAGCCAAGUCGCGUGAAGGAAGACUGCCUUAUGGGUUGUAAACUUCUUUUAUACAGGAAUAAAAAGGCUUACGUGUAGGCCAUUGCAAGUACUGUAUGAAUAAGCAUCGGCUAACUCCGUGCCAGCAGCCGCGGUAAUACGGAGGAUGCGAGCGUUACCCGGAUUUAUUGGGUUUAAAGGGUGCGCAGGCGGGCUUUUAAGUCAGCGGUGAAAUCUGGACGCUUAACGUCCAAACUGCCGUUGAAACUGGGAGUCUUGAGUAUGGAUGAAGUAGGCGGAAUUCGUUGUGUAGCGGUGACAUGCAUAGAUAUAACGAGGAACUCCGAUUGCGUAGGCAGCUUACUAAGCCAUAACUGACGCUCAUGCACGAAAGCGUGGGGAUCAAACAGGAUUAGAUACCCUGGUAGUCCACGCCGUAAACGAUGAUUACUAGUUGUAUGCGAUAUGAUAGUAUGUGACUAAGCGAAAGCGAUAAGUAAUCCACCUGGGGAGUACGCCGGCAACGGUGAAACUCAAAUGAAUUGACGGGGUCAUAGCUGUUUCCUG
Molecule: ribosomal RNA, 580 nt
Filed under: uncultured bacterium
Lineage: Bacteria
Description: partial 16S ribosomal RNA
Rfam family: Bacterial small subunit ribosomal RNA
Source: RNAcentral